GAUGAACGCUGGCGGCGUGCUUAACACAUGCAAGUCAAACGAGGAUCAAUGGAUCAAGACUUCGGUCAAGUGAAGUUGAGGACAGUGGCGGACGGGUGAGUAACGCGUGAGGAACCUGCCUCGGAGUGGGGAAUAACAGUUGGAAACAGCUGCUAAUACCGCAUAAUGCAUACGGAUCGCAUGGUCUGUAUGCCAAAGAUUUAUCGCUCUGAGAUGGCCUCGCGUCUGAUUAGCUAGUUGGCGGGGUAACGGCCCACCAAGGCGACGAUCAGUAGCCGGACUGAGAGGUCGGCCGGCCACAUUGGGACUGAGACACGGCCCAG
Molecule: ribosomal RNA, 323 nt
Filed under: uncultured bacterium
Lineage: Bacteria
Description: bacterial SSU rRNA
Rfam family: Bacterial small subunit ribosomal RNA
Source: RNAcentral